UCUGGCGUAAUAAGUUUCGCUGGUGUCGGCUUGAGAAGUACGCUUCUAAUCGUCUUCGGACAAUUCUUGAACUCUGGUCUCAAAUCAGGUAGGGCUACCCGCUGAACUUAAGCAUAUCAAUAAGCGGAGGAAAAGAAACUAACAAGGAUUCCCUUAGUAACGGCGAGUGAACCGGGAAAAGCUCAAAUUUGUAAUCUGGCUGUCUUCGAUAGUCCGAGUUGUAAUCUAUAGACGUGUUUUCCGUGCUGGACCGUAUCUAAGUCCCUUGGAACAGGGUAUCAAAGAGGGUGACAAUCCCGUGCUUGAUACGACCACCAGUGCUCUGUGAUACACGCUCUACGAGUCGAGUUGUUUGGGAAUGCAGCUCAAAAUGGGUGGUAAAUUCCAUCUAAAGCUAAAUAUUGGCGAGAGACCGAUAGCGAACAAGUACCGUGAGGGAAAGAUGAAAAGCACUUUGGAAAGAGAGUUAAACAGUACGUGAAAUUGUUGAAAGGGAAACGAUUGAAGUCAGUCGUGUUCUUUGGAUUCAGCUAGUUCUUCUAGUCUACUUCCUUUGAACGGGUCAACAUCAGUUUUGUCCGGUGGAUAAAGAUAGUAGGAAUGUAGCUCCCUCGGGAGUGUUAUAGACUAUUAUUGCAUGCACUGGGUGAGACUGAGGACUGCAGCUCGCCUUUUGGCCGGCCUUCGGGUACGUUCGAG
RNAcentral lists this ribosomal RNA (699 nucleotides) under Cutaneotrichosporon moniliiforme. Its description in RNAcentral is "eukaryotic LSU rRNA". The stretch from base 75 to 699 matches the Rfam family "Eukaryotic large subunit ribosomal RNA", at positions 1 to 622 of the family's 3401-position model. Lineage: Eukaryota; Fungi; Basidiomycota; Tremellomycetes; Trichosporonales; Trichosporonaceae. The record is from RNAcentral.